GACAGAGGUGCCAAGCGUUAGGCGGAAUCACUGGGCUUAAAGCGUGUGUAGGCGGAUUUGUAAGUACCUUGUGAAAUCCCACGGCUCAACCGUGGAACUGCUCGGUAUACUGCUUAUCUUGAGCCACUUAGGGGCUACCGGAACAAAUGGUGGAGCGGUGAAAUGCGUAGAUAUCAGGAGGAACACCGGUGGCGAAGGCGGGUCUCUGGGCAGUAACUGACGCUGAGACGCGAAAGCGUGGGGAGCAAACAGG
Molecule: ribosomal RNA, 253 nt
Filed under: uncultured bacterium
Lineage: Bacteria
Description: partial 16S ribosomal RNA
Rfam family: Bacterial small subunit ribosomal RNA
Source: RNAcentral